CAGUCGAACGAUGACGGUGGUGCUUGCACCGCCUGAUUAGUGGCGAACGGGUGAGUAACACGUGAGUAACCUGCCCUCCACUUCGGGAUAACCUCGGGAAAUCGUGGCUAAUACCGGAUAUGAGCACUCAUCGCAUGGUGGGUGUUGGAAAGAUUUAUCGGUGGGGGAUGGACUCGCGGCCUAUCAGUUUGUUGGUGAGGUGAUGGCUCACCAAGACGAUGACGGGUAGCCGGCCUGAGAGGGCGACCGGCCACACUGGGACUGAGACACGGCCCAGACUCCUACGGGAGGCAGCAGUGGGGAAUAUUGCACAAUGGGCGAAAGCCUGAUGCAGCGACGCCGCGUGGGGGAUGACGGCCUUCGGGUUGUAAACCCCUUUCAGUAGGGAAGAAGCGAAAGUGACGGUACCUGCAGAAGAAGCGCCGGCUAACUACGUGCCAGCAGCCGCGGUAAUACGUAGGGCGCAAGCGUUGUCCGGAAUUAUUGGGCGUAAAGAGCUUGUAGGUGGCUUGUCGCGUCUGCCGUGAAAACCCGAGGCUCAACCUCGGGCGUGCGGUGGGUACGGGCAGGCUAGAGUGUGGUAGGGGAGACUGGAACUCCUGGUGUAGCGGUGAAAUGCGCAGAUAUCAGGAAGAACACCGAUGGCGAAGGCAGGUCUCUGGGCCAUUACUGACACUGAGAAGCGAAAGCAUGGGUAGCGAACAGGAUUAGAUACCCUGGUAGUCCAUGCCGUAAACGUUGGGCACUAGGUGUGGGGGACAUUCCACGUUUUCCGCGCC
RNAcentral lists this ribosomal RNA (779 nucleotides) under Brachybacterium paraconglomeratum. RNAcentral describes it as "bacterial SSU rRNA". It matches the Rfam family "Bacterial small subunit ribosomal RNA", at positions 59 to 847 of the family's 1533-position model. The record is from RNAcentral. Lineage: Bacteria; Bacillati; Actinomycetota; Actinomycetes; Micrococcales; Dermabacteraceae.